AAAGUCGUAACAAGGUUUCCGUAGGUGAACCUGCGGAAGGAUCAUUAUUGAAUAAACCUGAUGAGUUGUAGCUGGUCCCUUCGGGGACAUGUGCUCGCUUGUCAUCUUUAUAUCUCCACCUGUGCACUUAUUGUAGACCUGGAUAACUUUCUGAGGACACUCAGUUCAGAGGACUGCUGUUUAUCUUACGAUACCGGCUCUCCUUACAUUUCUAGGCCUAUGUUUUUCAUAUACUCCGUAUGUAACAGAAUGUUAUCAAUGGGCUUUAUGCCUAUAAACUAUAUACAACUUUCAGCAACGGAUCUCUUGGCUCUC
Molecule: unclassified non-coding RNA, 315 nt
Filed under: Basidiomycota sp.
Lineage: Eukaryota; Fungi; Basidiomycota
Description: partial contains small subunit ribosomal RNA, internal transcribed spacer 1, and 5.8S ribosomal RNA
Rfam family: Eukaryotic small subunit ribosomal RNA (bases 1-47)
Source: RNAcentral